RNAcentral lists this ribosomal RNA (280 nucleotides) under uncultured Pseudomonas sp. Its description in RNAcentral is "partial 16S ribosomal RNA". It matches the Rfam family "Bacterial small subunit ribosomal RNA", at positions 1107 to 1382 of the family's 1533-position model. Lineage: Bacteria; Pseudomonadati; Pseudomonadota; Gammaproteobacteria; Pseudomonadales; Pseudomonadaceae. The record is from RNAcentral. RNAcentral also lists the same sequence under 1 other name.
GUCCUUAGUUACCAGCACGUUAUGGUGGGCGACUCUAAGGAGGACUGCCGGUGGACAAACCGGAGGAAGGUGGGGAGUGACGUCAAGUCAUCAUGGCCCUUACGGCCUGGGCUACACACGUGCUACAAUGGUCGGUACAAAGGGUUGCCAAGCCGCGAGGUGGAGCUAAUCCCAUAAAACCGAUCGUAGUCCGGAUCGCAGUCUGCAACUCGACUGCGUGAAGUCGGAAUCGCUAGUAAUCGUGAAUCAGAAUGUCACGGUGAAUACGUUCCCGGGCCUU